UGACGCCUGUUCCUCUCGCUGCUCUGAGCUGUGGCAGCUGGGAUUUUAGGGCGUCACAGAGUAAAGCAGGGUCUAUUUCACCCAGUGUUCAUGAGGUAGCAGGGCUGCCAUUGUCUACGUUGGACUUUUGCGAGACCCCACACUU
This is a small nucleolar RNA of Oncorhynchus nerka (sockeye salmon), 145 nucleotides long. RefSeq annotates it as small nucleolar RNA SNORA79. The record is from RefSeq and is a predicted model, not a curated record. Lineage: Eukaryota; Metazoa; Chordata; Actinopteri; Salmoniformes; Salmonidae. The transcript has a single exon.